RNAcentral lists this ribosomal RNA (481 nucleotides) under uncultured bacterium. Its description in RNAcentral is "partial 16S ribosomal RNA". It matches the Rfam family "Bacterial small subunit ribosomal RNA", at positions 28 to 523 of the family's 1533-position model. The record is from RNAcentral.
GACGAAUGCUGGCUGCGUGCUUAACACAUGCAAGUCGAACGGUGAAGGGGAGCUUGCUCCCCGGAUCAGUGGCGAACGGGUGGGUAACACGUGGGCAACCUGCCCCUCACUCUGGGAUAACUCCGGGAAACCGGGGCUAAUACCGGAUACGACCGGGAGCGACAUCGCUCCUGGUGGAAAGAACUUCGGUGAGGGAUGGGCCCGCGGCCUAUCAGCUAGUUGGUGGGGUAACGGCCCACCAAGGCGACGACGGGUAGCCGGCCUGAGAGGGCGACCGGCCACACUGGGACUGAGACACGGCCCAAACUCCUACGGGAGGCAGCAGUGGGGAAUAUUGCGCAAUGGGCGAAAGCCUGACGCAGCGACGCAGCGUGAGGGACGAAGGCCUUCGGGUUGUAAACCUCUUUCAGCGGGGACGAAGCGAAAGUGACGGUACCCGCAGAAGAAGCACCGGCUAACUACGUGCCAGCCGCCGCCGUAA